GAAUAAAAAGGAAGCAGCAGGUGCAGUAUCAACAUUGGAAGAAAUCUCCCAUUCUCACAUCACAGGAAAUCCCCCAAAGUAUAUUCUCUAGUCACAUUUCUUCCAUGAAGUGGUUGACUUCUACAACCAUCUGCAUCAGCAAAAGGAGGAAAGACAGCCUGGAGUAUUCAGCAAAAUAAAGAUCUUGAACACAUUUCUUGUAAGGUGAGUAACUUACAAAGAAAGGCCAAAAAUGCAUAGCACUAUAAAGUAUUUUAAUGAUCAACAGCAACAGCAAAAGGCAACAUUUCAAAAAGGUGUAGCAGACUUGAACAUCUCAACAGUCUGUGGAAGCAGUGGUUCUUAAUAAAUAUGAAAGGCUGGAAAAACAUAAUAGAAGACAUUUGCCAAGCUUACAAAAACUCGAGUUCCUCUCAAUGAUAUCAACAGGAAUUCUGAGCAUUCAUCAUGGAGAGGAACAUGGUGACCUUAUUGAAAGCUCACCUUCAUGUCAGUAAGUUUGACAUGCUCAUCUUCAUGUCAGUAAGACAUUACAUUGCCAAACAAAGCAAAUUUCAUAUAGACUAAGCUAAAACUCAGGAGUGUUUAUGAAAUAUGACAACAGUCUGUUGCCAAAGGGUCUAUACUCCUAUCAAAACAAUUUGAAGAAACUGAUUCUAAAAAAAAAAAAAAAA
Oxyura jamaicensis (ruddy duck) is the source of this 674-nucleotide long non-coding RNA. RefSeq lists it as uncharacterized. The transcript has 4 exons. The record is from RefSeq and is a predicted model, not a curated record. Lineage: Eukaryota; Metazoa; Chordata; Aves; Anseriformes; Anatidae.